AGACAGAUUUACCUUCAGUAGGCUGGCCCACAACAGGUUACUGCAUGGCUGUCGUCAGCUCGUGUCGUGAGAUGUUGGGUUAACUCCCUGCAAUUAGCGCAACCUCGCCCUUAGUUGCCAGCAUUUAGUUGGGCACUCUAAGGGGACUGCCGGUGAUAAGCCGAGAGGAAGGUGGGGAUGACGUCAAGUCCUCAUGGCCCUUACGGGCUGGGCUACACACGUGCUACAAUGGUGGUCGACAGUGGGCAGCGAGACAGGGAUGUCGAGCUNUUCUCCAAAAGCCAUCUCAGUUCGGAUCUGCACUCUGCAACUCGAGUGCAUCGAAGUCUGGAAUCGCUAGUCAAUCGCAGAUCACGCAUGCUGCGGUGAAUCACGUCCCC
This 380-nucleotide ribosomal RNA is filed under the name Agrobacterium sp. Nfb4RX. RNAcentral's name for it is "bacterial SSU rRNA". It matches the Rfam family "Bacterial small subunit ribosomal RNA", at positions 1000 to 1375 of the family's 1533-position model. Lineage: Bacteria; Pseudomonadati; Pseudomonadota; Alphaproteobacteria; Hyphomicrobiales; Rhizobiaceae. The record is from RNAcentral.